This 253-nucleotide ribosomal RNA is filed under the name uncultured bacterium. RNAcentral's name for it is "partial 16S ribosomal RNA". It matches the Rfam family "Bacterial small subunit ribosomal RNA", at positions 524 to 776 of the family's 1533-position model. The record is from RNAcentral.
UACGAAGGGGGCUAGCGUUGUUCGGAAUUACUGGGCGUAAAGCGCGCGCAGGCGGUUCGAUAAGUUGGGGGUGAAAUCCCAGGGCUCAACCCAGGAAUGGCCUUCAAGACUGUCGAUCUAGAGGACGAGAGAGGUGAGUGGAAUUCCCAGUGUAGAGGUGAAAUUCGUAGAUAUUGGGAAGAACACCGGUGGCGAAGGCGGCCAUCUGGGACAACACUGACGCUGAAGCACGAAAGCGUGGGGAGCAAACAGG